CAAGUCGAGGGGCAGCGGGUGGAGUAUUUCGGUACUCCUGCCGGCGACCGGCGCACGGGUGCGUAACGCGUAUGCAACCUACCUUUAACAGGGGGAUAAUCCGAAGAAAUUUGGUCUAAUACCCCAUAAUAUCAUUUAAGGCAUCUUAGAUGGUUGAAAAUUCCGAUGGUUAGAGAUGGGCAUGCGUUGUAUUAGCUAGUUGGUGAGGUAACGGCUCACCAAGGCUACGAUACAUAGGGGGACUGAGAGGAAGGUCCCCACAUUGGAACUGAGACACGGUCCAAACUCC
RNAcentral lists this ribosomal RNA (289 nucleotides) under uncultured Bacteroidales bacterium. Its description in RNAcentral is "partial 16S ribosomal RNA". It matches the Rfam family "Bacterial small subunit ribosomal RNA", at positions 58 to 339 of the family's 1533-position model. The record is from RNAcentral. Lineage: Bacteria; Pseudomonadati; Bacteroidota; Bacteroidia; Bacteroidales.